Molecule: ribosomal RNA, 372 nt
Filed under: uncultured bacterium
Lineage: Bacteria
Description: bacterial SSU rRNA
Rfam family: Bacterial small subunit ribosomal RNA
Source: RNAcentral
UACGGAGGAUCCGAGCGUUAUCCGGAUUUACUGGGUUUAAAGGGUGCGUAGGCGGGCCCCUAAGUCGGCGGUGAAAGUCUGCGGCUCAACCGUAGGACUGCCGUUGAUACUGGGGGCCUUGGAUGCGGUCGAGGCGGGCGGAAUGCGCGGUGUAGCGGUGAAAUGCUUAGAUAUCGCGCAGAACGCCGAUUGCGAAGGCAGCUCGCCGGGCCGUGAUCGACGCUGAGGCACGAAAGCGUGGGGAUCGAACAGGAUUAGAUACCCUGGUAGUCCACGCCGUAAACGAUGAUGGCUGGAUGUUGGCGAUACACCGUCAGCGUCUGAGGGAAACCAUUAAGCCAUCCACCUGGGGAGUACGGCCGCAAGGCUGAA